This 494-nucleotide ribosomal RNA is filed under the name uncultured organism. Its description in RNAcentral is "SSU rRNA". It matches the Rfam family "Bacterial small subunit ribosomal RNA", at positions 1 to 509 of the family's 1533-position model. The record is from RNAcentral.
CAACAGCUAGAGUUUGAUCCGNGGCUCGAGACGAACGCUGGCGGCACGCUUAACACAUGCAAGUCGAACGAGCGAAACCAGCUUGCUGGUCUAGCUAGUGGCGACGGGUGAGUAACACGUGAGCAAUCGUGCCUUUCGGAGAGGGAUACCAAUUGGAAACGAUUGUUAAUACCUCAUAACAUAAUGAAGCCGCAUGACUUUGUUAUCAAAAUGAAUUUCGCCGAAAGAUGAGCUCGCGUCUGAUUAGGUAGUUGGUGAGGUAACGGCUCACCAAGCCGACGAUCAGUAGCCGGACUGAGAGGUUGAACGGCCACAUUGGGACUGAGACACGGCCCAGACUCCUACGGGAGGCAGCAGUGGGGAAUAUUGCACAAUGGGCGAAAGCCUGAUGCAGCGAUGCCGCGUGAGGGAAGAAGGUUUUAGGAUUGUAAACCUCUGUCUUCGGGGACGAUAAUGACGGUACCCGAGGAGGAAGCUCCGGCUAACUACGUGCC